Non-coding RNA from Delphinapterus leucas (beluga whale), 5987 nucleotides. The record is from RefSeq and is a predicted model, not a curated record. Lineage: Eukaryota; Metazoa; Chordata; Mammalia; Artiodactyla; Monodontidae.
UUGAACCCACAUACCCUGCACUGGAAGGUGAAGUCUUAACCACUGGACUGCCAGGGAAUUGUGACAAGAAGUUUAUAUCAGUAAUUCAAAUAGAAUCCACUGCUAAGCGGCAAAUCACAUCCCUGAAACGUCUGUCUGCUGAGGGACCUGGAAGCAAUGAGAAGUCAGAGCAAUGAGCAUACCUAAAGCAUACCUAAAUCAGUCACAAUCAAUGACUGAUUGCAGUGGAGUGGCAAGGAAAGUACAAAUGAGCCUAGAACAUCUUCCUAUAUCAGAAAAAACUGAAAGAAUACUGGAAACAUAUCAAAAGCACACCAGAGCCAACUGGGACUUAUUGCAACUGACAAAUUCUGGGACAUUUAAAAUAUUAAAUAAAGGUAGUACAGAUUGUACUGUUUAAAUAAAAAAGAUGACAUGAGCCUAAUACGAGGCAUAGGCAAACUUUUCGGUAAUGGGCCAGUAAUUGUUUUAGUUUUGCGGCCCAAAUAUUAUGUGUUUAUAUAACAAGAAAGAAAAAAGUUUCUACAGCUUUUCUAUUAUAUUUUAUUCAAACUAGAUUAUAAUUUAUAAUAAUUCUUUGUAAUAUAUGUCUACUAAAGACAAGGGUAGACUCACAGAUGUUGGGAGACAGUUUACAGUCUUAGGUAUGUUUAUUUUCUAUAGACGUGUUUCUUUAGAUGCUUUACUCAAACUCUAAUCAACCCAACAUCAAUAAAUAACUUAUUUUGCUUGGCUAACAAAUGAAUCACUGCAUAUUUAUUUUGAUUGCAGUCUCAUUUUUUAUUUUUGUGAAGCGACUUUGUUGAGAUGAAAUAUUCUGUUUAAAAUUUUAUAUUUUUUCUGUCCAUUUCUUUCCUCUGCUUUGCGAGUAUUGCGAUUACUGCUUAGUGUGGUUAUAUUAAUGCAUAUCGUAUUCUUUUAGCUUAGCUAUAGUGUCAUUGUGUAAUAAACACGAUGUUUUACCUAUUCUUCUAUAAAAGUAAUCCAUUCUCCACUGUGCCUUAAAAGCAUGACAUUCAAAUCUACUUUUCUUGUUUCUUCAUAAUGAGCAUGUACUGGUAAUAAAAAGUAAAAUAUUGAAGUAUGGCCAUACAUACUCUGAAAGGCUGUUUCUUUAUAAUGACAUCAUUGUAAUUAUGCUUAUUAUUUGUUUAUGAAUUAUUUCAUCAGUUUUAUUAAUAUAUGACAAAAUACAUUGAAAAUCACUAAUCACAUGCACACAGCCUGAUAAAUAUUCACAAAGUGACCACACCUAUGGAACCAGCACUAAGAUGAAGAAACAGUAUUACCAAGACCACAGGAAUUCUGUCAUUUGCCUUACCAGUUACUAUACCACUCCUAUAGGUAACUUCUCUUUUUCUAAACCCAUAGAUUAUUUUAACCUAUUUUUUUAUCUUACGUAAUGUUUCAUGCAGUAAGUGUCUAGCCUUUUUUCCACUCAAUAGUACGUUUCUGAGAUUCGUGUAUGUUUUCAAUGUGGUUGUAAUUCAUGCAUCCUUAGUAAUGUACACUGUACAUAAACAUUGAGUUCUUUCCUUUGUUGAUUGCUGUGGAUAGUGGUGCCUUGAAAUGUUGAUGAUUGUAAGUUUACUAAUUUUUUCCUUUAAGUUUCUUCCAUUGAUUUAUGCUUCACAGGUUUUUUCCCAUUUGGGAAUUAUGAUCAGAUUCACUUGUAUUUUUCUAGUUAUUCAAAAUGAUUUUAUCUUAAAUUAUUUAACCAGUAAAUACAUAUGGAAUUAGUUUAGUGACUGAGAUGUUAUGGAUAAAAGUAUUUUUUCAACCAAUAGUUAAAUGAUAGAACCAUUAGAUGAUUAUUUCACCUUUGAACCUCUGCUCUUUCAUGUAAACUUUGUGAUCUGGUAAAUUAUUAAAUAGAUGCAUGUGUUUCAUGUGAGUUCUCUAUUUUGACAUUCACGUUUGGUUAAAACCAAAGAAUAAAGUUCACUUAGAAGGAUAAAGGAUUUUUACUUUUUAAUCCCACAUUUAUUUGUAGAUAAAGGAAAAGUACACACUACAGAAAACUCUCUCAAGGGAUUUACAAUUCAUGCUGCAUGCUUUCUGUUUUUCCCUUUAUCUUACAGGCUACUAAUGCAGAGAAUCUCCCAAAUCAUUUUAAUGUUUGAAAUUUCAAAGUGUUUACAAAACUCAUGGCAACGAAUGUAAGCACUGUUCACUAAUUUUGUUUACUAAUAAAGUUUUAUAAUCAACAUUAGCAUGAGAAGUAUGUAUUAAAAUAUAUAUUUAAAUAUGCCCACAAAUUUAGUAGAUUUUUUAUGAUUCUUUUGCAUUGAUUCUACUCCUCAUUUAUGUCCCAGAUAAAAUUCAAGGGAAAAUAUUUCAUCUUCCUUUGGAAUACUCUGUCAAAUGUUUCAUUUUGCUCCACGGUCAAGUGAUGUUUCCAGUCUCCGAUGGUACCUAGUGGGACAAGCACAUCAACAACAACUGGUCUUUUUUGUUGUAGACAUUAUGGGGGUAUGAAAUGGAAUGUCUUUGUGCUGCAGAAGAUUCAAGAAUAUUGUAAAGGAUUAUCAAAUCAAAAUAUUAAGUAAUAGUGCUGUGCAGAACCACACUGAGGCAAGAAAGAAAGUCAGUACUUAUUUAAAAUUUGGAUAUUUGUUUACCAUCAAUUUUACAUUAAUUUUUAUAUUUUUAAGUAUUGCACUAAAAUAGUAUUUAUCUGGAUUGCUGAGUUUUUGGUGCCUCUUUAAAUCUUCACCUAAGGUAAGUGCCUCAGUCACCUCCCUGUACUCCAUGGUAGUUCAAAAAGGCACUCAGGGUUACCUGGCGUCCAUCACCAAGAACAUUAAGUAGAAAGGCCUGGAGGUGGCGUCACAUAGAGCUUUCAGGUAAGGAAACGUUUUUGCAUAAAUGAAGGUGCUCAAUGGACAAGUAAAAUGAAGCCAUAUUAUUGACAGCCUCAACCAGAUACUUAAUAUAAAUAAUAAGAAACCUGAAAAUUAUUGGAAUGUGAGCUGCUACCACAUGCCCAAGGUGUUAAAAAAUAGGUAAUUGGCUUUGACCAUAGCAGUGUAAACAUAUUUAAUGUGAUAUAAUCAUUAAAUGAAUAUGAAGUAUACUCCAAAUUUGGUGGUAUCUUUUUUUAUUUUAAGCAUUUUAUUUGGUUGUAUCUUUAAUAUAUUGAUUCUUGUGGAACUCUGACUAUUUUGAAAAUAUGGAUCCAGAACAUUUACCACCUAUAACUUUUGAAUAUAUAUAUUUUUAAACUUCUUAAUAUUAAUUUGGAUGUGUCUUCUAACAUUAAAAUUUCGUCCUUAUAGCAUGUGAUGAAUUCAUGCCUAUUUAUCUAAAGGCCCUUAAGAAGUUAGGACCUGUUACCAAAUGUGUUUGCUUUAAAAGGUAAAGAUUAAUGCUAACGUCUUUAAAACUGUCACAAAAGGAAAGGGUUAGGCACAUUCUCAAAGGUAUUUAUUUAAUGUCUUUUUUUUUUUUUUUUUGCUAUUAUCAACUAGUUUUGUGGGAUUCUACUUGAGAUAGGAAGUGUCUCUGUGUACACGUAAUUUUUUACAUUGGGAGGUUGGGAUUUCUCUCUUUCUGACAUUGGUGCUCAAUUCAUAAUGAAUCAACACACUUUGAGGCUGCCCGAGGGAGCUUGAACAGAAGGGGGGAAAUUUGAAGAUUUAAUAUUUAAUCCUGAAUAUUUUAGUCCACCACAAAAUUUAACACAUUUCUCAGUAUGAAAAUGUAUGAGGUGGUUCUGAUGAAACAGAGGUGAAAAUUAGAAUAAUAGGUUCUUCUACUAACGGUGGGAGCUUGAAAAAAAUUCACAUAACCUCUGAUCCUCAGUUUUCUCACCCAGAAGAUGAAAAUCCUGUAUAUGAAAAAUAUAUUUAAAAAGGAAAAUUAAUAAACAAAUUCAAAACUGGUCAGUUAACAGUGAACUUCUUCACAGGGCUUUGUCUACAAAUCCAGCCCACCUUUCCCACUUGCACCUUAUUCCACCUGCUCUACACAGCCAAAUUACAGUAAAGAAGUCUACUGCUGUGGACUGAAUGUUUGUGUCCCCCCAAAAUUUAUAUAUUAAAUUAUAACCCCCAUGGUGAUGAUGUUAGGUGUUAGGGCCUUUGGGAAGUGAUGAAUGGGAUUAGAGUCCUUAUAAAAGAAGGCCUUGGAAUCUCCCUUGCCUCUUCUGUCAUGUGAAGUACAGAGAGAAGACAGCCAAGAAAGCAGAUUUCACCAGACAUGAAUCUGCCCUUGUCAUAACCUAAUAAAGUUAGUUUUACAACAUGCUUAUAGAUUCCUGAUUGAACUUUUUAAAAAUAAACUAUGUUAACUGUUUUCACGGAAAGUUUAGGAGACAUACACACACACACACACACAUCAGAUAGCUCCUCUGAUCAAUACAAAGAAGCCAUAGAUCAAUGUCACAAAGUGUGGCUGAAGACCCCCCCACAAAUCUCAGUCUUCGGGACCUCACCCAAAACCUGAGAAAUUAGAAUCUCUGUGGGGUGGAGCCUUGAAAUCUGUCUUUUCACACACUCACCCGGACAUUUCUAUACACUUAACAUUUCAAAAAACUGCUGUUACAGUAUAUGUGUAUUUAGUUUGGAAGAGAACUUUGUCUCACUAACAGAAGGUCAUUUGGGGAAGGUAAAGUCUCAGAUGAUUUGUGUAAAAAAUGGUAAGAAAUAUGUUUUUCAUAUUGACAGGAGCAUCUACAUAUAUAUAUAUUGUGAAACAACUAAACCAGUUAAUCAACUGGAAUAUAAUAAAAUAUUGUUCAGGGUUACAUAUCAGAAAUCUUGGUUCUUCCACAGAUGAAUUUAGGUUCAUCAGUUUACCUCUCUUCUUGGAAUACAUGAUAGUUCAAUAAAAUUACACAUAAAAGUGCUUUCUAUGUUAACAGGACAACAGGAGGACACUUAAGGAACAUGUUCAGAUGAAUGAGUUUAUAUGACAAAGUGUGUCACAUUUUGGAAAUAAUUAGGUAAAAUACUUGUGCUAUUUAGGGUCAUGCACUUGGGCUAGCUAAUUUAAUUAUAUAGGUUGUGACUCACUCUCUCACUUAAGACCCAUGAUUUCCUGCAAAUGUAUUUGAGGGUUAAAAAUAGCAAGAGUGAAAUUCCAACUCCAAAGUGUCAGUUGGCAUUUAAGUCUACAGUUGAAAGAUAGACAAGCGAACUCUUCAGAGUUGGAGGGUGGUCACCAUAAUUGGUCAAUUACAGCAGCUAAGAGGGUAGCUAUGGUAAUACACUUUAAUACAAAUCAUCCUUUAAAAUUGGGUUAACAACUUUCUUUCCUGAAUAAGAAGGAUAUAAUAGGUCAUGAGAGGCCAAUGCUCCCAUGGUGAAAACCAGUAAAAAACAGGUAAAGUACAAAAAUUAAAUUUAAAAAUCCCUUAGAUCUCUGGAAACUAUAAUUACUAGAUAAACUAAAAGUCUAGAGAGGAAGAGCCCUUUGUAGGUGAAGCAUCAUUAGUUGUCUUUUCAGGGUGCAUGUGCCAAUUCUGGGCUUUUGGGCCAGAAUUUGAAACUUUAGGGCAGCAGGAGAUUAUAAAGAACUAAAAUCAGCACUUCCAAAAAGGAGAACUAAAUACUCCCAUUUUUAAGGACUCAUGAAAGAUACUUACUGGGCAGUCAGUGGAAGGAGGAUAAACCAAAUGUAGACUUGAAUUAUAUUAAAAUAGCAACUCAGUCCCCAAACAACUUAAUCCUUGAAAAUGAGCUAAAAGGCAAGAAAAGAAUAUCAAAGAGUUUCCAGUUCUACAGUCAGACCAGGUUUUGCAUCAUAAUGCUAAUGCUUACUAAAUAUUUGCCCUUGGGAAAUUUAGUUCACCUCCCUACACCUCUUGUUUUCUUAUUUAGGAAAUGGCACUUACCUCAUUCAUUUUUUGUUAAUAAUAAAGGAGAUAAUUCAUGUGAAAAUCUAACUCCAUUCUGGUAUGCAGAAGGUGCCAAUAUUUAUUUAUUUUUACAUCUUUAUUGGGGUAUAAUUGCUUUACAAUGGUGUGUUAGUUUCUGCUUUAUAAC